RNAcentral lists this microRNA precursor (151 nucleotides) under Prunus dulcis (almond). Its description in RNAcentral is "sRNA ncRNA". Lineage: Eukaryota; Viridiplantae; Streptophyta; Magnoliopsida; Rosales; Rosaceae. The record is from RNAcentral.
ACCUUCUCCUUUGGACUUUCUCCCUUUUUUGCUUGACAAGUUAGCUUGAAAAGCAAAUGUUAGCUUGUAUAAUAUAUUAAUGACAUUGUUUUAAGUAUAAGGAGAAUGACACAUGUCAAGCAAAAAAAGGAGAAGGUCUAAAGAAGAAGGU